This is a long non-coding RNA of Carassius carassius (crucian carp), 406 nucleotides long. RefSeq lists it as uncharacterized. The transcript has 2 exons. The record is from RefSeq and is a predicted model, not a curated record. NCBI's taxonomy places the organism in Eukaryota, Metazoa, Chordata, Actinopteri, Cypriniformes, Cyprinidae.
AUGUUGCUGAGAAGCAAACAGAGAUGAGUUAAGCUGGAAUUCUUCAUUUUCUUAAUUUCCCUGCCCAAAGCGUGACAGGACCUGAAAAACUGCUGGGUUUCAGAUUGGGUUCAAGAUCAGAUCCACAUUUUCACACUGAGGACAACUAAGGGAAUCAUACACCGCUAUUACAAAACGGGAAAACAUUUACUGAUGCUCCAGAAAGCAAAACAAUGCAUUAAGAGCCAGGGGAUGUAAACUUUUGAACAGAACGAUGAUGAUAUGUAAAUUCCUUUAAUUUUGUUUAACGAUCAUAUUUUUUAAUUUAGUACUGCACUUUAAAAGCUCCAUAAAUACUUACAUGUUUCCCAGAAGACAAAAUAAGGACAAUUUACACUGAUCAUCCAAUUAAAAAAGUGUACACCCC